Molecule: non-coding RNA, 21 nt
Organism: Caenorhabditis elegans
Lineage: Eukaryota; Metazoa; Nematoda; Chromadorea; Rhabditida; Rhabditidae
Source: Ensembl
UCUUAUUUUGGGGUCAGUGUU